RNAcentral lists this ribosomal RNA (253 nucleotides) under uncultured bacterium. Its description in RNAcentral is "partial 16S ribosomal RNA". It matches the Rfam family "Bacterial small subunit ribosomal RNA", at positions 524 to 776 of the family's 1533-position model. The record is from RNAcentral.
UACGUAGGGCGCAAGCGUUGUCCGGAAUUAUUGGGCGUAAAGAGCUCGUAGGUGGCGUGUCGCGUCUGCCGUGAAAGCCCAUGGCUUAACUGUGGGUCUGCGGUGGAUACGGGCAGGCUGGAGGCUGGUAGGGGCAAGUGGAAUUCCUGGUGUAGCGGUGAAAUGCGCAGAUAUCAGGAGGAACACCGGUGGCGAAGGCGGCUUGCUGGGCCAGUUCUGACGCUGAGGAGCGAAAGCGUGGGGAGCGAACAGG